This 108-nucleotide non-coding RNA is filed under the name unclassified sequences. RNAcentral describes it as "RT-5 RNA". It matches the Rfam family "RT-5 RNA". Rfam says of the family: Clostridium (Firmicutes). Environment (Cow rumen (57)) The record is from Rfam by way of RNAcentral.
UUGCACCCGCUGAUGGAUGCAGCACAUUCUUUUAUAGCGUUUUGCGGGUAACCGGAAUGUGUACCAUCCUGUAUGAAUAAGCACGGCUUUAUUCAUUCAAAGUUUUUU